UACAGAGGGUGCGAGCGUUAAUCGGGAUUACUGGGCGUAAAGGGCGCGUAGGCGGUCAGCACAAGUCAGUUGUGAAAUCUCCGGGCUUAACUCGGAAAGGUCAACUGAUACUGUGCGACUAGAGUGCAGAAGGGGCAACUGGAAUUCUCGGUGUAGCGGUGAAAUGCGUAGAUAUCGAGAGGAACACCUGCGGCGAAGGCGGGUUGCUGGGCUGACACUGACGCUGAUGCGCGAAAGCCAGGGGAGCGAACGGG
Molecule: ribosomal RNA, 254 nt
Filed under: uncultured bacterium
Lineage: Bacteria
Description: partial 16S ribosomal RNA
Rfam family: Bacterial small subunit ribosomal RNA
Source: RNAcentral